RNAcentral lists this long non-coding RNA (1454 nucleotides) under Macaca mulatta (Rhesus monkey). RNAcentral's name for it is "lncRNA (ENSMMUG00000064803.1)". Lineage: Eukaryota; Metazoa; Chordata; Mammalia; Primates; Cercopithecidae. The record is from RNAcentral.
UAGGAAAAAGAUAGCCCAAGUUGAACAGAUGAGAAAGUUCAGUCGUCUUGAAAAGCGAAGAACCCAUGUCCUCAGCUGUUCGGAUCUUCAGGCUGUUCGCCGGUUUCGAGGAGUGGUGUCAGAGGGCAGUUUUGAAAUAAGAGAGAAGGUUUAUAAAAGGAAGGACGUGUUCCAGAUUAAUUUGUGUCAGAUUAAUCCAGAGCUCAAAGAAAAGAAUCCUCUGCUGGCAGAAGGAACUGUGAAAGUAGACGUGGGAAGGAGGAAGCAACAGAAUCCCAGGAAUGGGGCCAAACAACCCAGAGAGGAAAGAGAAUACAGAGGUUCGGCAGGACCCAGGUCCUGGUGGGAAUUAUAGCCAUAGCAGGCUUUUAUAAUACUGAUUAGGGCCAAGGGCAGUGGCUCACACCUGUAAUCCCAGCGCUUUCGGAGGCCGAGGUGGGUGGAUCGCUUGAGCCUAGUAGUUUGAGAUCAGCCUGGGCAACGCAGUGAAACCACAUCUCUACUAAAAAUGCAGAAGUUAGCCAGGUGUGGUAGUGGACACCUCUAAUCCCAGCUACUCAGGAGGCUGAGGCAGGAGAAUCGCUUGAACCCAGGAGACGGAGGUUGCAGUGAGCCGAGAUUGCGCCACUGCACUCCAGCCUGGGUGACAGAGUGAGACUCCAUCUCAAAAUAAAUAAAUAAAUAAAUAUAUUCACAUACACACACACAUAUCACACACACACACACGUACACACGCACACUGAUUAGUUGUAUUGUGAGUUUUUUCCUGAUUAUAAACAUAACACGAACUCAUCAAAUUUGGACUAUGGAGAAGAAUAUAGAAAAGAAAAGAAAAACCAUAAUCCCAUCACUCAGACUUUUUUCUGUACAUAUUAAUAUGCCAGAAUCUUCAGACAUUACUGAUUCUCCAGAAAACCUGUAACCAACUAUAUGACCACCAGUAGCCUGUGACUAUCCAAUGUCCCUGACCCUAGACAUGGAGAUGAUUCAGACACCACCUUUCUUAAUCCAGGAAUACCAUUUACCAGUGCUGACCAUUACCCUAAAAAAAAAAAAAAAAAAAAAGAACUUCUGUUAAAAAAAUUAUAGUUUGGGCUGAGUGCAGUGGCUCACACCUGUAAUCCCAGCACUUUGGGAGGCCAAGGUGGGCAGAUCAUGAGGUCAGGAUAUGGAGACCAUCCUGGCUAACAUGGUGAAACCCCGUCUCUACUAAAAAUACAAAAAAUUAGCUGGGUGUGGUGGCAGGCGCCUGUAUUCCCAGCUACUCGGGAGGCUGAGGCAGGAGAAUGGCAUGAACCCAGGGGCAAAGCUUGAAGAUCGCACCACUGCACUCCAGCCUGGGCAACAGAGUGAGACUCCAUCUCAAAAAAAAUAAAAAAGAAAUUACAGUUUGUAAAGUUUGAAUUUUGUGCAAUUAUUUAAAAAUCUGGGUAGGCAAAAAAUAUAUAUAGAUA